ACCUUAUCAGCCAGGAAUGAAAUGGAUGGGCAUGGCAGGGCAUCUGUUUGUCAUCUUUAUUCAUUUUCGACUUUUCUCAAGAACCAUUGGCUAUAAAGGGAGCUAUAAAAUGCACAACUGUUUUCCACUAUUGAAUUCAAAAGCUAUACCUUCUUUGAGAUACUUAUACUAUCAGAUGAACACAUCUCAUUUCUGAUUUUAUGUCAAUGCAUCUUUGCAUUAAUAAAAUAAUGUAAAUCCUAUAAAUCGGGAAAAUGCAUAAAAACAGCUACUAUUUUUUAACAUCCAAAUGGAAAUACUUUCUACUUAUACAUAUCUCCUUUCAGAAGCUUUUGGCGGGUGUGGACCAACAAGAGGGAUGACCUGAGAAGACAACAAAGUGGAAAGGCAAAGGCCCACAGGUUGUCUGCUAAGAACAGCAAAAGGGUCAGAUCAAAACUGGAAAGCAGGCUGAAGGCCAUUGCAACCAUAGACUGGCCGGAGAAGAAGAAGGAGAAAGUUCUUCCUCUCUUGAGGAAAGAGCUGACAUCACCCAUGGUGUCAGACGAAGGGGAUGAAAAUCUUCUCUUGUCAACUGCUUUCUGGUGGGAAAGCAAGAAACUUUGUUCAUAUAAGCGACAAUUGGACAACCAGCGGUUGUUCAAGGCUACUGCCAGGGGCCGAAAAAAUGAAGAUGUGGGAAGACAUCCCACACGCUGAAGUCCAACACGCUGAUCUGCCACUGGACAUGCCCAGUUGGGCAGUGAAAAGUUCAGCAGAAGAAGACCAGCUGAACAACACUGCUGAUUUUGAUUCCUGAGACGCAUUUCUGAUGUCCCAUGCUGUGAUGUUGCUUGAAUAUUGCUAAAAGCGGAGGAAAACUUUACUCACUUACUCUUAUGUCCCUGAUGUUAUGUACAUGUAGCUAGAUACAUAAUUAAUUAACCAUGUUCAUAAUCAAAGAGUUUUAAAAUUACAUAUUUUAGUGCUUUAUUAAUGUAUGGGGGCAUAGUUGUUGAGAUUUGUUGACUGUUAAUAAACUUUUCAUUCAUUUGUGUUCUAUUCUGUUAUUUGUCAUCUUAAAGGUUUUACCAUUAUUCAAUUGUAUAAAAUACCUGAUUUGCUAUCUGAUACAUGAAACACCUGGGGGAGCAGGUAAAUAGCUAGCAUUCAGUUUCAUGGAAACCAGGUUUGAAACAACAAUAUGCUAAACACAUGGAAAGCAGCAGGAGCUUAAAUGGAGGAGUGGGUAAAGUAUUAUGAAAGUUAUGACCUGGAAACUAGGUUGAAACCAACAAUAAACAAAACCAUGGAAACCAGGUUGAAACCUACAAUAAACGAAAAAAUGGAAACCAGGUUGAAACCUACAAUAAAC
Molecule: long non-coding RNA, 1354 nt
Organism: Haliotis rubra (blacklip abalone)
Lineage: Eukaryota; Metazoa; Mollusca; Gastropoda; Lepetellida; Haliotidae
Exons: 2
Source: RefSeq, a predicted model, not a curated record